CACGUAGGGGCAAGCGUUGUCCGGAUUUAUUGGGCGUAAAGAGCUCGUAGGCGGUUCGGUAAGUCGGGUGUGAAACCUCCAGGCUCAACCUGGAGACGCCACCCGAUACUGCUGUGACUAGAGUCCGGUAGGGGAGCGUGGAAUUCCUGGUGUAGCGGUGAAAUGCGCAGAUAUCAGGAGGAACACCAGCGGCGAAGGCGGCGCUCUGGGCCGGAACUGACGCUGAGGAGCGAAAGCGUGGGAGCAAACAGG
This 252-nucleotide ribosomal RNA is filed under the name uncultured bacterium. Its description in RNAcentral is "partial 16S ribosomal RNA". It matches the Rfam family "Bacterial small subunit ribosomal RNA", at positions 524 to 776 of the family's 1533-position model. The record is from RNAcentral.